Molecule: long non-coding RNA, 214 nt
Filed under: Elaeis guineensis (African oil palm)
Lineage: Eukaryota; Viridiplantae; Streptophyta; Magnoliopsida; Arecales; Arecaceae
Description: long non-coding RNA (EGUI_LNC023134)
Source: RNAcentral
GGAUCAAAGAGAGGGUGGAAAGGCUCUUAAAUAGAGCUGGGAGGAUGCUAAAAUCUUUCUCAAAGUUGCUUAUCCAGUGAGUUUAGGGAGAAGUGGAAGAUGAGUCCUUUUCGGACUUGCAUCUUCCCCUUUUUUGUUUUUCUAGCACCUGCAAAGCACGUGCUAGUCCUAAGAUUUUUUUUUUAUUACUAGUUUAUGCUAUGUUUUUGGAUUG